This 2634-nucleotide ribosomal RNA is filed under the name Sheathia arcuata. RNAcentral's name for it is "LSU rRNA". It matches the Rfam family "Bacterial large subunit ribosomal RNA". Lineage: Eukaryota; Rhodophyta; Florideophyceae; Batrachospermales; Batrachospermaceae. The record is from RNAcentral.
AGUUUUUACUUAAGGGUGCUUAACGAAAAUCUUGGUAAAAAAGUAAGGACGUCGCGCGACGAAACGUUGUUAAAGAGGCACAGGCCUGUGAUUUACAAUUUUCCUAUAUAGAAAACUCUACUUUAUGUUAUUAAAUAAAUAAUGUGAAUUGAAUCAUCUUAGUAACAUUAGUUGAAGAAUCAAACGAGAUGCCGUGAGUAAUGGCGAAUGAAAAUGGUUGAGGCUAUAAUUAUAAUAGUAUAAACUUUGAAUUUUUAAACUUAAAAAGGUACAAGUCCUGUAAAAGUUUUGUACUGAUAAUUUAUGAAGUAGUAUGAUUUUGUAUGAAUACAGAAGAACCACCUUCUAAGCCGAAAAUAUCUUUUUUAACCGAUAGUGAACGAGUACCGUGAGGGAAAGAUGAAAAAUUCCGUUUUAGGAUAAAAUUACUGUAACUUUAAGUAAUUUAAAAAAUUAAGCACUUAAACUACUUUUGGAAUUUUAAUUACUUUAGAGUAACAAAUUGCCUUUUGCAUAAUGAGUCAGUAAGUUAAUAUAAUAUAGCAAGCUUAAAUAAAACUAUGUAGGCGUAGUAAAAGUUAUGUUUAUUAAACCUGAAGCCAAGUGAUCUAACCGUGAGCAGGUUGAAAAUGCAGUAACAUGUUUUAGAAGACUGAACCCGUAUAUGUUGCAAAAUAUUGGGAUGACUUACGGUUAGGGGUGAAAGGCCAAUCAAACUUGGCGAUAGCCGGUUUUUCACGAAACGUAUUUAAGUACUACAUUAAUAAAGUAAAUUGUAGGUAUAGUACAAAGUAAAUAAAGGGUUUUUUAAACUACUGAGUUUAUUUUAACUUCAAAUUAUAAUUUAAUUCUAUUAACAGACAGUCUUUAAGCGAUAAGGUUUAAAGACAAAAGGGAAACAGCCCAGAUCAUGUGUUAAGGUCUCAAAAUUACGACUUAGUGGAGAAAAUUUUUUAUAAAUCAAUUAGAUAAAGAAUAGGCUUAGAAGCAGCCUUUUAUUGGAGAAAGCGUUUUAGCUCGCUAGUAAUUUAUAAAAAUUUAAAAUAAACGAGGCUCAAAGUCGUAUACCGAAACAAUGAAUCAGUCUAAAUUGAUGGUAGUGAAACGUUCUGUAACAAUUAUUUUUGUUAGGGUAACUUUACAAAAAUUUAUCAGAAGUGCUAAUGCUGACAUGAGUAACGUAAACUACGUAAAAAAUCGUAGUCACCUAUUACCCAAGGGUUUCAAUAUAAUUUUAAGUUUAUUGAGUUAGUCGGUCCUUAAGAGGAGAGUAAAUACUGUACUUGACAGGUAAUUUUACCAAGUUAUAUACAUUACUUAAUGUGUACAAAUUAUUUUUAAGUAAAAAAUUUUACUAGGUUUUAUUUUUUAUACACUAUAAUUUCAAGAAAAAUUUAUAGCUUUAUUUGACCGUACUUAAUCCGACACAGGUGGGUUUGUUGAAAAUACUAAGGUGAAUGAACAAACUAAAUUGAAGGAACUUGGCAAAUUAACUCCGUAAGUUCGCAAGAAGGAGUGUCUUAAAGUUCAUUAUGGAUGUCACAAAAUAGAAAGCAACGACUGUUUAUCAAAAUCACAAGACUCUGCUAAUUAGUUUUAUAAGAUGUAUAGAGUUUGACACCUGCCCAGUGCUUAAAGGUCAUCAUUUAUAAGUUGACGCUUAUAUUUUAAUUCUAAGCAAACGGCGGUUCUAACUAUAAGAAUCCUUAGGUAGCGAAAUUCCUUGACGGGUAAAUUCCGUCCUGCAUGAAUGGUGUCACGAUUGCUUUACUGUCUCCAAUUUAAAUUCAGUGAAAUUACAUAACCUAUGAAAAUGUAGGUAUCCUGCAGUAAGACGGAAAGACCCUAGAUCCUUUACUUUAGUUUUGUAUUGAAAAAGUUAAUAUUUUAUGUAGAAUAAAUGGGAGUUUUAAAAAACUAGUAUGAAAUACCAUUUAAAAAUACCUAGCUUUUCUAAUUUAUGUUUUAUAAAAACAGUACAAGAUGGGAAGUUUACUUGGGACGAGUACCUCCUAAAAUGUAACGGAGGUGUACAAAGAUAAGUUUUAAUUAAUAUUUUAAUAAUUAAUUAAGCGCGUAAUGGCACUAAAUUUGUUUGACAGCAAGAUUGAUAAAUCGCGCUGAGACGCAAGUCGGUCAUAGUGAUCCGGUACAAGUAAGUGGAAAUAGUACCGCUCAACAAAUAAAAGGAACUCUAGGGAUAACAGAUUCAUCAUGGUUGAGAGUUCUUAUUGAUGCCAUGGUUUGAUACCUCGAUGUCGACUCAUCUUAUCCUGGAUUUGAAGUAGAUUCCAAGGGUCUAGUUGUUCGCUAGUGAAGAAGGUACGUGAGUUGGGUUCAGAACGUCGUGAGACAGUUCGGUCCCUAUCUGCUGCGGGUGUUUGAAAAGAAUAAGAAUUAUUCUUAGUACGAGAGGACCAGAAUACGUUAACCAAUAGUGUAUUGAUUGUUGAUACCAUCAGCACGUCAAGUAGCCACGUUGAUAUUGUUUAUGUACUGAAAGAAUCAAUAAGUACGAAAGCUUUCUUUCUUCUUUUCAUGAAUAAUCUAAAAGAAUAUUAGAUAGAUCGGUUUAUUAUAAAUGUUUAGUAAUAAAUUUUUUAUAUUUAAAUACGAACUUCAUUCAUUAAAUUA